Marasmius fiardii PR-910 is the source of this 100-nucleotide non-coding RNA. Lineage: Eukaryota; Fungi; Basidiomycota; Agaricomycetes; Agaricales; Marasmiaceae. The record is from the annotation of a GenBank genome assembly.
UGCCCCAUGGCUGAGUUAGUUACAGCGUCCGACUGUUAUGGUCGUCGAUAAAUUGACGUUAACAAUCGGAAGGUCGUGAGUUCGAGCCUCACUGGGGCAG